UACGUAGGGGGCAAGCGUUGUCCGGAAUUAUUGGGCGUAAAGAGCGUGUAGGCGGCCAGAUAAGUCCGCUGUGAAAUCUCGAGGCUCAACUUCGAGCUGUCGGUGGAAACUAUCUGGCUAGAGUCCGGAAGAGGAGAAUGGAAUUCCUGGUGUAGCGGUGAAAUGCGCAGAUAUCGGGAGGAACACCUAUGGCGAAGGCAGCUCGCUGGGACGUUACUGACGCUGAGACGCGAAAGCGUGGGGAGCAAACAGG
RNAcentral lists this ribosomal RNA (253 nucleotides) under uncultured bacterium. RNAcentral's name for it is "partial 16S ribosomal RNA". It matches the Rfam family "Bacterial small subunit ribosomal RNA", at positions 524 to 776 of the family's 1533-position model. The record is from RNAcentral.